Molecule: transfer RNA, 65 nt
Filed under: Crepidodera sp. BMNH 846613
Lineage: Eukaryota; Metazoa; Arthropoda; Insecta; Coleoptera; Chrysomelidae
Description: tRNA-Arg
Source: RNAcentral
AAAUAAGAAGCAAAAUUUUGCAUUUAGUUUCGACCUAAAACCCAUGACUUUUAAGUCCUUAUUUU